Long non-coding RNA from Microtus ochrogaster (prairie vole), 273 nucleotides. RefSeq lists it as uncharacterized. The record is from RefSeq and is a predicted model, not a curated record. The transcript has 3 exons. NCBI's taxonomy places the organism in Eukaryota, Metazoa, Chordata, Mammalia, Rodentia, Cricetidae.
CUUCCCCUGUGGGAGUCCAGUUCCGAACUGAAGAUUUUACUACUAACAGACAAUGAAAAGGUUGCUGUAAGAUUAUCAGUGUCCCCAAUCAACAGGAUAUAAUCUGGAAAACUACACUCACCAGGGCUCCCUAAAGAGACCAAUGAUAACAAUCAAGACUGCUGGAAUUUUCUACUGAUCAUUGAGAAGAUGAGUGCCAUUGGAACUCUCUUGCUGUUUUAACUCUGAAAUACGCAUCUAGAAGGACCAAAAGAGGUUUGAGAGAUCUGAGGA